Molecule: non-coding RNA, 1916 nt
Organism: Monodelphis domestica (gray short-tailed opossum)
Lineage: Eukaryota; Metazoa; Chordata; Mammalia; Didelphimorphia; Didelphidae
Source: RefSeq, a predicted model, not a curated record
UCUGUAUGGGAAGUAGAGGAAGGGAGUACAGACAUUUCAAUGUAACCAAUGAACAAAUAAAUUAACUUAAAACAGAAAAAAAAGAAUUUAAAUUUAUUGUGAAAAUAAGUUAAGAAACUUUGACCCAAAGAAAGCAUUCUUAUAGUCAGUAUUCAUCCGUUAUUCAUACAAAAAAAGAAAGGCAAGAAAGAAAUGGCCAACAUUAGAAUUCUGGCAUAUGAGAUAUUGCCAUAAAUAGGAGAAAUCUCCCAAUUGAUGUGGAAAGGGCUCGUUAUUCUUACCUUGAAUGUAACUGUGAAAGUCAGUUACUAGAAUUGGUUCCCAAGGAGAAAAGAAUGACUAAGGAUAUUUGCCAGUUCCUGUUCUCCCACCCACACCUUCCUCCUCUAUUUGAUAUUUCUACUCCCAUUUCCACAGAAACUCAGCUUUUAAAAUUAGGAAGUUGGCAAAGCCUGCCUUCAGCACCCUCCUACUCUCCCUCUCAAUUGCCAUGAUACUUUCUAUUUUCCAAGUGAAUUCAUUAUGCUCCCUUGCUGCCCUAAGGUCUUAGUUGCAACUGGUUUUAUGGCCCUGUCCAACUGGAUUGCUCCAUUUUCUAGCCCUUCUCUUCAUCCUUCCUACAUUCAUAUCAAUUGGCCUGCCUUGUACUGAUUCAGUUAGAUUUAACAUAGGUUCAUUAAGGGCCUACUAUAUGUAAAAAAUUAUGCUAGAUUCUGGAGGGACAGAGAAAAACAAACCCCAGACUUGCCUCAAGAACCAGCAAUUUUCAUGGAUUCCAUAUCUUGUUUACCCAAUACUCAGGCCUCUUCUCUCAGAUUUGCCAGGUGACUACUUUUCUGGAUAAAUACUAUGUUUAUACCUUAAAGAUGCAACACAAACUCAUUCAUUUGGCAUUUUAAAUACUCCACAAUUGCAUUCAAGUCUAAUUUUCCUUGUUUCUGAUACUUCAUUCCCUUCUACAUGCUCUCCAAUUCAGUCCAAUUGGCUUAUGUGCUAUCCCUUGAACUUUUUCCUUCAUCUUUGUAAAAUUUAAAUUAUAUCUCUAAUAAUAUAAAUAUUAUAUGUUAUGAGGUUUAUUAAGGAUUAUUAGAAAUCAAGGAAUAAAGAAGAUACAAAAUAAAAAAAAACACAUGCCCAUGGCUGAUUAGCCCAUUUAAAAUCCUGGUGCUUAGCUUACAAAGGAAGAGAGCAUGGGAGGUGUUACUGCCAGUUAAAUACCAAUUGUGAUCUCACCAACAUGGAGAUUCAGGAAAGAUUAUAGGGAAUUUUGGUAAAUACCAAGGACUUCUGGGGAAUAAAGUCUAGGGCUCAAAAAUCUCCAUUUAUAUAUCUUACACCUUGGUACCUUUGCCCAGGCUUCAGACAAUGCUGCUCCCUUCAGGUCUGCAUCUUAUAAUUCCCACCACUUCCUUCAAAGUAAGGUCAAGGUGUACCAUCUCCUGUGGGAACUUGUUAGUGACUCAUUUCAUUUUUCUUCCUCUACCUCAAAUGAUAAUGCUUACCCUUCUAUGUUUAUAUGCUAUGUGUUCUUACUUUGUAUUUUUUAUCCCAGCACCUAGCAUACAGUAGGAGCUUCUACAUUGCUUCUUCAUUGGAUUAUAUUGGAUUUUGGAAGAUUCCCAUAGAUGAGAAAUAACUCUGUCAUCUACUUUAUUUACUCCGUGACUCUGAAUAAUUUUUGGCCAUUAAGAAAAUGUUAAAGAUGGAGAAAAGAUCGAAGAUGGAAAUUGACCAUGCUUGCAGAAUUGGUGGUUAGACCCUGCAGGUAAUUCCAAAAGAGAAGAAAACCCUCCAAACCAUGGCAGCAACACUGGAAUAAGAACAGAGGAUCUUACUUUGAAGGAGACCAGAGUCAUUUGUUAUUGUCUAAAUGCUGGCAUAUUUCAAUUGAAUAAAUAAUCAUUUAAUUAAUCAAA